GGUGGACACUGGCAAUGUGUGGUUGGCAGAAACUUUGGCAGUCACCUGGAUCCAAUUCAAUUUAUUCAUUUUACAGUUUCAAAAAUCUCAGUGAUUUUGUUCAGAUGAUGCAAGUGUGCUCUAUUGUUGACUAUAAAACUGUGAAAAUUUUGAAUGAAUUUGUACAUAUUUCAAAACUAUUUUCUAAUUUUUCGGUUGUGGGCAUCUCCGCUGGCUUCACGCCCGCAUGUAUAAUAUGGCGCGGAGCACCGAAAGUGUCGGCUGCUGCCAAAUAACUAUUCUAAAAAUUAUCAGGUCUGUCGAAGAGAACUGAAAAUAAGUUUUAAAGCAAAAUUAAAGAACAAACUGAAGCUGUAUUAAAAAAAUCUUUUUCGAAGUUUAUUCAUAAUAAAUUUUAAAAUACUUUCAGCACUAUGUUAUCGAUAAACAAAUUAAACUUAAUACCAUUAUUUAACCAACUUUUUUUUUUGAAAAAUGUAAUUUGUAAAGUGAACAGAAAAAAAACCAAAUAUAAUAAAAUUGCUAGGACUUCAAAUUGGUUUUCAAAAAAAAAGGAGAUAUAUCUUAACAUUGAGAAACACGCUCAAAUUGUAUUCAAAACAACUAAAACGUUUUUUGGUAAGUAAAGUCGAAAUCAAGCUAGACACUCUUGAAAUUUUUUGCGAUUUCUCCAUGCAAAAAAAAGUAAAUUGAGUUUAUCAUAUCAUUCGAACCAUUUCUCUCCAAUUUGCUUAUAGCGUAAAUUAUGCAAUGCCAACAGUUUAAGAAUUUCGUUUACUGGAGAACAAGUUGUGUAUUCAUUAUAGAUACGGAUUAAUCAUAUUUCAAACUAACAUUGUGAUAAGCACAUACAGAAACAGAUUAUGAUAAAGUUUUUGAAAAAAUAUAUAUGUUAGACGAGUGUUUUCUUUCUGGAAAAUCUUUCAAGCAACAUUUUAGUUUAUUAAAAUGUAAGUUAAAAUAAGUUUGAAUAGUUUUGAGACAACUUUGACAAGAUGUUUUGAUUUGCGAAGUCCCUACCCAUAAAAUGAAUUUCAAAACCAACUUUGACGUCAAAACAUGUACUUAAUGAACCAAUCAAUAUUAUUCGGAUGUUAACAGAUUAUUGAGUACUCCAACUAAUUCCAGAACAUAUAAGAUUGUCUUGGAUCAGUAAUAAAAUUUUUAGAAUGAUAUGCUUCUUGGUCACCUAGAAAUCGUUCGAAAUAUUGACCAAAAAAUAACUUGCUUUGAGAUCUUUUUUUUUGAAAUUGAAAAAAUUAAAUCAGCAGUGUAAAACAGUAGCCUUUUUUUUCAAAUAUCGAAAUUCCAAUACUCUCUAAUUUUUAAUGGUAUUUUUUUUGAAGAAAAAACGAAUAAAACCUAUUUUUGCUGGAAAGAUUCAAGAAUGCACAAUUUAUUAAUUUUACUUUAAUUAUUCUCACAAUUUCAACAAUUCCUGUAACAAAAAACCAAACAUGCUGACUUUUUUUUUGAGAAACAUAAAGAGUAUCUGAAACUUGCAAUAGACAAUUGCAGUAUUUAAAAGAUUGUGAAUAAUUUUAGAUUUGUUUUUUCAAUCUUUUGCUCGAUUAGAUUUUCUCUUACAAAGUUCCAAUAAUUUUAAGAAAUAAUUUCACUUCCAGUCAAAAAGUUGCAAUGGAUCAGGUUUUGCAACUCGUAAAUGUUCAAGUGAACCAAGAAAUUAUGUUUUUUCCUUAGAUUAUCAUAAUUUAACUGUGUAUGAGAAAAGUUUAUUCAAUGGUUUUUUGUGAAUGUGUGACAAGUUUGAAGGACAGAAAAUUUUUGGGAAAAAACUCCGCCAUCAAAUUUUAUACUGUUUCAAGUUAAUUUUAUCAUUCAUACAUUCAUUGGGGAGAAAUAAUGAAUUUUCUGAAUAUUCUUCUCGGAUUUUCAAGUUUUUAAUUUAUUAAAAAAUAAUUUAAUUUCUUAUUCCAUUUUUUUAUAUAACCUUGCUAAUAUGACUAAUUACAUUUUCAGGUAGUUUUUGAGAGUUUGAGAGUUUGAAUGAAUUUGAAAAAUGCCAAGAUAUCCCAUAUCUGUCCAUUUUUUGAAGCAAACUGAAUUUUAGUAUAUUUCUAUAACUGAAACAAUUAACUUUCUUCAAAAUUUUAAAACAUCCUGAAACUGUGGCUACCUUUUAAAAAAGUGUUUUAAAACAGCGCAAAAUACGCUUACAAGUAGAAGAAUAGUGACUAUUUUGGAUUAUUACAAUUAUUUUUACACCAAAGAAACUUUUUUACACGAUUUAGUUCUCUAAUUUUGCUAAUACGGUUAAAAAAUAAAAUUCACACAAAUUUUUACAGUUUCAAGUAGUUUUUAAGUUUUCAAGAGCAAUAAUGGAUUAAUACUGACUGAAUUUUUUUUCUCGAAAAAUUUUAAAAAUCCCUGAAACUGUAAUAAAUUUUUUUUGCCUCAAUGUGAGUUCCGCACAUUUUACCAGUUUUUUUUGUUUUGAAAUAAAUGUUUCAAAGUUUUGGGAUUCUAUCAACAAAAAAAAAAUAGAAAUCUCGCAUUUUUCGCAUUUUCAGAUAGUAAAUUCAAUACUCUGUGUACUCAAAAUCUUCCGAAAAUUGAAUUUAAAUGUUUUUAAAAACGAGUUUUAUAGGAACAAUAAUAACCAAAAACUUUGCUGUAAACAAGUAGAAAACCGAGAAUUUUUCCAUAUUUCUCACAAAUUUUUGCAGUUUCAGGUAGUUUUCAAAUGUUCAACAUUUUUUGGCAAUUCCAAUCUUCGAAGGCAUUAUUUUCUUUAAUUUGAAACUGUCUCAAUCGUUUUUUUAACGAAUGACGUCACACUUAUUGCCACGUUUCUCGAAGAUUUGAGCGGUUCACUGUAGGGCUGUACAAAUCGGCGUCCGGUCGUCCGAUUUUGACACCACCGGACGCACUGCGUCCGGUUUUGGGGUAGGUUUCCACGGCGGCCGACAAUUUCCGAGUUUCGCCACUCACUAUACUUAAUCAGCAAUUUUAUAGUGAGUGGCGAAACUCGGAAAUUGUCGGCCGUCGUGGAUAGGUACCCCCAACCGGACGCAUGUGCGUCCGGUUCGGACGACCGGACGUCCGGCACGGUCUCCUCGGGUGGAAACGAAGGGGGAGGGAGAUUGCUUGCGCGUUUCAGCGAUGCGCACUUCGCGUGCUGGUGCAUUUCUGGAUAUUUAAAUUUUGCUAGACAAAAAACUUUUAUCUGCGCAGAUAUCUGUUAUUUUUUCACGCGGAAAACGAUAUUUUUAUUGGAAAAGGGUAAAAUGAUGAAGUUUAAAUAUGUUUCUGACCAUUAAAUUAUAACAACUGUUUUUCAGGUGGAGAAUUCAACAAAAAAUUUGGAUUUUUAUUGAAAUUGUACGGAAACGAGGCUCAUUCAUUAGCGGAAGUCUGGAAAUUUGAACUAUUUGCAGUAAUAAUUUAAAAUAUUGAUUCACUUUCCGUUUUGAACAGUUCUGGAGCCAAAAACGGAGUGUAUUUUCGAAAAGUUUUGAUGAAAGUCAUGAAGACUCAGAUUUUCUGGGAUUUCAUGCACAAAUUUCUGGAAGUCGCUCGUUUUCUCAAAAUUUUGUUUAAAUUAACGAAAAAAAGCUAUGGAAUGGGCCUCGUUCUCUACAAUAUGCCUAAAAUCAGUUCACAUUUCUAACCUUUAAAAAGGCUCAGGUUGGUGUAGACGGUCUGUGAGAUGACGGGAUCCUUGCUUUACCUGUAAUCGGAGCAUAGCUAAGAAACUAGUUUACAAUACAGAAUGGCAUAGGAGAAAUACGACGAAAAGUGAGAAAAAAAUCCCGCAAAAAUGUUGAAGUCGAGCAUGUUCGAUUCUUUGAUGUUCAGGCAGUCCUUUUUGACUUCUGAACUGGAAACUUUUGUGAAGUAGAAACAUUUUCAUAUCAUCCGACGAAGUUUUGGAUGUCAUUUGACCGUAAGAUUACUGCGAUUUGUGCCUUUUUGAGCAGAAAAUCAUAACGGAAUUUCACAAAAAGAGUUCGAUCUGAGUUCUUUCAACAGGUACAUAGACGAAUUAUAUCUUAAAAUGACGACAAAAGUUUGCUCUAUAAACGUUACUAUUGCAGGUUAUGAGAAAAACUUAAAUAAAAAUUUAAUUUCAAAAAAUCCGAAAAUUCAGUUGAUAUUUUCAAACAGUUCGUUAUGCAUUUCCACCGAACGGUUUCCGAUAAUUUUUGUUUCUCCACUUUCGUUUCAGUCUAUUUUAUAAUUGUUACCAUUUUUGAAAUAGAAAAAUCGGCGAAAAACUAAUAAAAAACGAGGGAAAUCACUUAUCAAUGGUGAAAUCUCGAUGGACGCAAUGAAGGUGCAGCAAGCGCGCCCUAUCGCAAUUUCCACCCGAGGAGACCGUGUCCGGUUGUACAGCCCUAGUUCACUGUUUCUUAAUGUUUAUUUGAACUAAAAAUCAGAAAGGUAGCUAAUAGAUAGGCAGGAUUGCAAAAUUUCAAAAAUUUAUAAAACAGCAUUGUCCUGUAGGAAAUAUGUUUUAUACCAAAAAACAGGAAACUUUAUGGAAGCAACUAUUUAGAAAACCGGGAACUUUUUUUUUGGAUUUUUGGUACCAUAUAUUACUAAAUUAAGCCCCGCCUAUAUAUUGGUUACUAUCACUUUUUUUGUGUUCUUUGUAAUAUUUCAGACGAUACAAUAACAUUUUUGAAUUCGAGAAUUCAAUCGAACCCAUUAAAAAUCUCAAAAAUUUGACAAUGUCCUGAAACUGCAAUUUUUUUCAAAUAUCUUUAAAAAAAUUUUCGGUCAGACAUUUCUUGGUUUUUUCCUUUUUUUUUUUUUUCAAAAACAAAUUGUCAUAAAUUUUGCGAUUUUAUCCACAUUAUUUUUCUGUUAUCUUGACAAUCGAACAAAAAACAAGUUGUUACAUUUUCAGGUAUUUUUCAAAUGUUUGAGAUUUCUAACGGUGUUAAUACCAUUAAGAAUCUUUGCGAAUUAGCACUCAUUUUUUUGCCAGAUAUUUGAACAAAAUUAAACAAAAAUUUUGAGAAUUUUAAUGUCGAAAUAGGCCUCGCAUACAUAUUGGCUUUUUUAAUAUUCUGAAUUGCUUUUUUUCACAUUAUAUGAUCUCGCUAAUAUGGGUAAAUGAAACAUAAAAAUCCAACAAAUUAUUACAGUUUCAGAUAGUUUUCAAAAUUUCGAGAUUUUUUAGAAUAUUUGGGUAAUGAAAUCAUUUGAAGUCUCAAAAAUUUGAAAAAUUUCUGAAACAGUAACAACUUUUCGGAAAUGUUUUUUCAUAAAAUAAUUUAAUGAAUUACUGUAGUUUUCGCCACGAGAUAUUUGGCGCUGCAAAUAUGUUAUACGCAUUCUCAGGAAUUUCGUGUACGAUUUAUAAUGUGGUCAAAACAUCAAAAUCCGUUAAAAAUCUCGUCAAUUUCAAAAGCUAUAGAAAACGUAUAGGCUUGAUUUUUCGUUUUACUUUAUUUCUCAAACAUCAAUUAUUUUCUCGUUUUUCAGGUCUUACAAAGCCAAAAAAAAUCGAUAAUGUUGGCAAUUGCAAGAAAGAAGUUGAGCAUCCGGCGGUGAGCAUUUUAAUUCAAAGUUUUGAAAAAUGCAAGUGCGCUCUAUCGAUAAUAUGCUAGUUUGGGAGUAUCUGUUCCCCAUAUGUUUGCAAUAGAUUAAAUUCCAUAGCGGUCCUCACGUAAAUAACGUAACUAGCCAAAACAACUUUUUUUUCUGCAAAUCUAGAAAGCCAAAAAAGUUCUACUGUUUCAUCUUGCACAUUUGAACGUGCGCUAUUAAAAUAAACAUUGAUCGAUUUUUUUGCUUUUUGCUUGAUUUCUUAAAAUUUGAGAAGGAUUUAUAAAAAACAAACAGUUUCAAAUUUUUUUUUUACAAUUUCCCAUUCUUUUCAGAAGAAAUCAUCAAAUGUGAACGUCAAAAAAUUAUGGAAAAUUGUUUAAUGUUUCAAAAUGCACAUUUUAACGUGCGUUAAUUACAUCAUAUAUUCAAGAAUUACGGAUGCCGCCAACAAUAAUUUUUUGUUGCAACUGGGCUUCAAAAGUUCAUUGACAAUAAUCUCAGCUGCAAAAAAAAACAAGUUCUCUUUCAUUAACAACCAGUUUGGUUUUUGUAUUCAAAUAAUUCUCUUGUUUCUCUUGCUAUAAAAGGUUCUUAACAAAAUAAUUGCGAAAAGGCAAAAAUGUCAAACAUUUUGCCCCAAAUAUUUUUUUAACAGUUUCACAUGAUUUUUCUUCUGAAUAGUUAAUUAAAUUGAUAUUCAAUAACUCAGCUCUAUCUAAUCGUUUUGAAAAUGCAAUUUGCAAAAACCUCCGCAAGCUGUUUUUUCAUACAAUUCUAGAUGAAACUUCUGGAAAAAUGUAGUUUUUUUUUGUUGAACUAUGGCUAGAAAGAUUUUAGUUCAGGGUAUUAAGUUUAACUUUUUAAAAAAGUCGAAAAAAUUACUGUUUCACCUGGAAAAGUUGAACAAUUUCUAUUUUUUAAUAUGCAAUGAUAUUUUUGUGUGCCAAUUUUUUUUAUAAGAAUGGAAUAUCAACUACUUUUAAACAAAAAGUGGUUCAAUUGAAAGACCUUUUUUUCGUUGUAUAGUUGUAUAGUAAAUAUAAUUUAUCCACUUCUUUUGUUCUAAAUUCAAGCGAUAGUAAUAGUUACUCAAAUUUGUUCAAAUUAUUUCUAGACUUUAAAACAGAAAAAAAAUAUUUCAAAAAAAUUCACUGCUUCAUUAAAAACUCAUUUUAAGUGUUUUUCCAAUUUAAUGAUUUGUUUGUUUUGCACCCUUGUAGUUUGUGUGAUAAUUGGGGGUCCUACACUCCAACUAUUACACCCCCUGUGAACCCCUGAAACCUCAGACAAAAAACCCGGAAAUUCGAUAUUUUCAAAGACAAAAGCUUAACACCAACUAUUUCAUUUCUAGCUUUAAACUUUUUUUUUCUCUAUUUCAAAAGUUUUUCUAACACAAUAAUGAUGAGAAUUAAUGGAUUCGGAAAGAAAUUAUCGGCCAAACAAAUGCGCGCCAAGUUUGAAAGGCAAAAUGAGUGUGAUUUCGAUGAGUUGUGAGUUGGAAACAUGGUUUUUGAAAAUAGGAUGUGCACUGUUUAGAAUUUUGGCCCUUUUAAGAAGUGUUUUAAGUAAAACAGUAAUUUUUUUUGAAAAUUUCCAAAAAAAAUCUUGUUUAAAAUUGUAUUCUAAAUGAAGUAAGUAGAAAAACGUUUGCAUCGUUUUCAGACAUAUAAAUUUCUGUACAACUGUACAAAACAAACUGUUUCUUGACAAAAAUUUAUAUUGAAGUGUUCUUUAUGAAACAGUAAAAUUAUUUUUAAUUUGUACUGAAAAUUCGAUAUUUUAUCCACUUUCUUCCUAAUUAUUCAUAAGAUUCAUUAUUGUUAAACCUGAAAAACAGUGAAAGUUGAAACUUGUCUACAAACUUCAUAAGUAUUUUUAAUUUGAAAUACAAAUGUUUGAUUCUCGAAUUAAAACUAUAUAUUUCCCAUAAUUUUAAACUCUAUAUUUAGAUUUAUUUUUGGCAGGCUUUGCAGUGUUUUUUCAAACAAAAUUGACAUUUGAGAAAAACUCACAUUUAAGUGUUCCUAUUGAAACAGUAUAUUUUUGGUGAAACUUUUUCAAUUUUUUUUCUAAAUUUGGCUAUAGUUUUGUAAUUUCUAGAUUUGUAUGUAGUUUACUGAAUCAAGUUUUUGGAACUCAUAAUAAAAAAUUAUAUUUUAUCUGUUUUAUGGAGUUUUUAACUCUACGUUGGAGGUUUUUUUUGACAUGAAACAAGAACAGUUUCAAUAUUCUGCAAAAAAUUAGAAUUCUACAUGAAAAACUGUCGAAAUUUAAUCUUCCCAACCUUUUUUGUGCGGUUUUUUGCGAAAUUUAUCUUAAAACCGUAUUUAGUGGAGAAUAAAUCUAUUCAAAAUUUCUCAAUGAACAUGAAAACAUUCAUAAACCAAAUAAACCUUUCGAAACUGUGACUUUUUUUUUCGAAAAUUGGAAUUUUUCAAAAAGCUAACUUACUUCGUAACUCUCAAAUAUGGGAAAAACGUAGCAUUUUAGUUAAAACCUCAAAAACUUAGCUCUAAAAUUCUGAAUUUCUGAAAAAUCAUUAUUCAAUUUAAACCAAUAUUUAAGUAAACAUUUUCGAGAAACAGUAAAAAAAAAUGUUUUUCCAAAAAAAAAACCGUUUAAAAAUGCAUUCCAAUUUCCAAAACAACUUUUAAUUUUUGCAGAAAAGAAUCUCGAAAAUGGCGUGAACCACCAGAAAAGGCUCUUCGUUUUGAGAAUGUCAUAAUUCAAGAAACAAAUUUGCCAUUUGAACAAGUCGAGGAAUCGAAGAAAAUGUUAGGAGAUGCUCUGCAAUUAUGUGGAAUUGAAAAUGAAAUUGCAAGUUUUAUGAAACGGAAAUUUGAUGCUAAGUAUG
RNAcentral lists this small RNA (8374 nucleotides) under Caenorhabditis elegans. RNAcentral's name for it is "Unclassified non-coding RNA Y10G11A.93". Lineage: Eukaryota; Metazoa; Nematoda; Chromadorea; Rhabditida; Rhabditidae. The record is from RNAcentral.